GACAGAGGGUGCAAACGUUGUUCGGAAUUACUGGGCAUAAAGAGCACGUAGGUGGUCUGCUAAGUCACGUGUGAAAUCCCCCGGCUCAACCGGGGAAUUGCGCGUGAUACUGGCAGGCUCGAGGUGGGUAGGGGUGAGCGGAACUCCAGGUGGAGCGGUGAAAUGCGUAGAUAUCUGGAGGAACACCGGUGGCGAAAGCGGCUCACUGGACCCAAUCUGACACUGAGGUGCGAAAGCUAGGGUAGCAAACGGG
RNAcentral lists this ribosomal RNA (253 nucleotides) under uncultured bacterium. Its description in RNAcentral is "partial 16S ribosomal RNA". It matches the Rfam family "Bacterial small subunit ribosomal RNA", at positions 524 to 776 of the family's 1533-position model. The record is from RNAcentral.